GUCUAUGGCCAUGCUAUCCUGAACAAGCCUGAUCCUGUCUGAUCUCAAAAGCUAAGCAGGGUCAGACCUGGUUAGUACUUGGAUGGGAGACCAACUAGGAAGACCAGGUGCUACAGGUG
RNAcentral lists this ribosomal RNA (119 nucleotides) under Pteropus alecto (black flying fox). The record is from RNAcentral. Lineage: Eukaryota; Metazoa; Chordata; Mammalia; Chiroptera; Pteropodidae.